UACGCGCAAAUAAACUCCAGGCAAAACAAUGUCGCCACUACGUACAACCGUCAACCGAAGUUGAAUUUAAACUUUCCGGCACUCCCCCGAGCAGUAUAAAUAACCGAACACGAUCGUUAAGAAAAUCAGUCUUUGAAGAAGUCAGUAAUGAAUCAGUUGGUCAAUCAGUCUCGAGCAUUCUUAUAUCAGCAAUCAGUACGCAGUCUUUAGAGCGCAUCAAUCAGUAAUCAGUCUGUGGCGGCACUCGACCACGGAACUUUCCAACGGUUUCGCGACAUAAAGCGCUAUACCUUCAAGGCGUAAGGCCGACUUGCCUAAUGUACCAUCGAUAUCCCUACGGUUCUUUCGCCGAAUAUUCGGAAGAAUGCAUACGCGGUAACUGUCGCGGACAUCUAAUAAACGCGUGCGUAGUGGAGAUAUCAAGAGGCAACAAAGAAACGAAUCCGUUUGGUUUCGAACAAAAGAUUCAUUCUGCCCGAGCUGCGAAGUGCGAAUGGUUUAGCGUCAUAGCGAAGCAAACAUAAGCCGAGAUACGUGAUUAUUAACUCUUGGGAGUUAAUCGUUAAUCGUUAAUUAUUGUUGAUGUUUUCUCAAGUACUGAAGACAAAAGACUGGAACGAAGGCAGACCAUAAACAGUAGACAGGCGACGUUGAUGUAACCCCAAAUUCCUUUACCCUGACGUCACCUUAGGCGACCACCUCUAGAUAUUCUCCGGACAGUUAACACCUCGCCACCCUCAUAAGGAACUUCCAAGAAUAAUGUCCCCUCCAACAUUUUCAUUGUUCUCGCUCAAUAUUUAGACUCCGAAUAAUGACGGCCGAGCCAGUCUGAAUUAUAAGCCGAUACUGGAGCAUUGUAAUAUUGGUACUCAAGGGCCUUCGACUCUUGAGAAAUAAAGUUUUUAUAUAUAUCA
Bombus terrestris (buff-tailed bumblebee) is the source of this 914-nucleotide long non-coding RNA. RefSeq lists it as uncharacterized. The record is from RefSeq and is a predicted model, not a curated record. NCBI's taxonomy places the organism in Eukaryota, Metazoa, Arthropoda, Insecta, Hymenoptera, Apidae. The transcript is spliced from 2 exons.